RNAcentral lists this ribosomal RNA (258 nucleotides) under Staphylococcus aureus. Its description in RNAcentral is "partial 23S ribosomal RNA". It matches the Rfam family "Bacterial large subunit ribosomal RNA", at positions 1 to 255 of the family's 2925-position model. The record is from RNAcentral. Lineage: Bacteria; Bacillati; Bacillota; Bacilli; Caryophanales; Staphylococcaceae.
AGAUUAAGUUAUUAAGGGCGCACGGUGGAUGCCUUGGCACUAGAAGCCGAUGAAGGACGUUACUAACGACGAUAUGCUUUGGGGAGCUGUAAGUAAGCUUUGAUCCAGAGAUUUCCGAAUGGGGAAACCCAGCAUGAGUUAUGUCAUGUUAUCGAUAUGUGAAUACAUAGCAUAUCAGAAGGCACACCCGGAGAACUGAAACAUCUUAGUACCCGGAGGAAGAGAAAGAAAAUUCGAUUCCCUUAGUAGCGGCGAGCG